Molecule: non-coding RNA, 108 nt
Organism: Otolemur garnettii (small-eared galago)
Lineage: Eukaryota; Metazoa; Chordata; Mammalia; Primates; Galagidae
Source: Rfam
GUGCCUGCUUGGGCAGCACUUAUACUAAAAUUAGAAUGAAUGAUACAGAGAUUAGCAUGGUCCCUGCACAAGGAUGACAUGCAAGUUCGUGACGUGUUCCAUAUUAAC